UGGCUCAGAACGAACGCUGGCGGCGUGCUUAACACAUGCAAGUCGAACGGGAAACGUUCCUUCGGGAACCGAGUACAGUGGCGCACGGGUGAGUAACACGUAGGUGACCUACCUAUCGCUGGGGAACAACCCCGGGAAACCGGAGCUAAUUCCGCAUACGCUUUCCAACUCGCGGGUUGGAAAGGAAAGAUGGCCUCUUCAUGAAAGCUAUCGGCGAAUGAUGGGCCUGCGCGUCAUUAGCUUGUUGGUGAGGUAACGGCUCACCAAGGCUGCGAUGACUAGCUGGUCUGAGAGGAUGAUCAGCCACACUGGCACUGGAACACGGGCCAGACUCCUACGGGAGGCAGCAGUGGGGAAUAUUGCGCAAUGGGCGAAAGCCUGACGCAGCAAACGCCGCGUGAGUGACGAAGGCCUUCGGGUCGUAAAGCUCUGUCGAGAGGGACGAAACACCGGUGGGAAACAAUACCUCGCCGGUUUGACGGUACCUCCAAAGGAAGCACCGGGUAACUCCGUGCCAGCAGCCGCGGAAAUACGGAGGGGUGCCAAGGCGUUGUNCGGAAUUACUGGGCGUAAAGGGCGUGUAGGCGGAUCAAGAAGUCGGGGUGUGAAAGCCCUGGGCUCAACCCAGGAAAGUGC
RNAcentral lists this ribosomal RNA (636 nucleotides) under uncultured organism. Its description in RNAcentral is "bacterial SSU rRNA". It matches the Rfam family "Bacterial small subunit ribosomal RNA", at positions 20 to 625 of the family's 1533-position model. The record is from RNAcentral.